GUGAGGAAUUUUCCGCAAUGGACGAAAGCCUGACGGAGCAAUGCCGCGUGAAGGAUGAAGGCCUAUGGGUUGUAAACUUCUUUUCUCAGAAAAGAAUUAUGACGGUAUCUGAGGAAUAAGCAUCGACUAACUCUGUGCCAGCAGCCGCGGUAAGACAGAGGAUGCAAGCGUUAUCCGGAAUGAUUGGGCGUAAAGCGUCUGUAGGUUGUUUAAAAAGUAUUCUGUCAAAGAUUAGGGCUUAACCCUAGAUAGGCAGAAUAAACUUUUAAGCUAGAGUUUGGUAGAGGCAGAGGGAAUUCCCGGUGGAGCGGUGAAAUGCGUAGAGAUCGGGAGGAACACCAAAGGCGAAGGCACUCUGCUGGGCCAAUACUAACACUGAGAGACGAAAUCGAGGGGAGCAAAUGGGAUUAGAAACCCCAGUAGUCC
Molecule: ribosomal RNA, 426 nt
Filed under: uncultured bacterium
Lineage: Bacteria
Description: partial 16S ribosomal RNA
Rfam family: Bacterial small subunit ribosomal RNA
Source: RNAcentral